This 220-nucleotide unclassified non-coding RNA is filed under the name Hevea brasiliensis (rubber tree). The record is from RNAcentral. Lineage: Eukaryota; Viridiplantae; Streptophyta; Magnoliopsida; Malpighiales; Euphorbiaceae.
UUUUGAUUGAAAAUAGUAUAUGGAUUAAAAUUGCUAAUUUUUAAAAAAUAGGGAUCAAAAUGUAAAUUAUGGUUUAGGGGCUUUUGAGUGAGGGGUUAAUGGUUUAAUAACUUGAACUAUCUUAUUCUUCAAUUCUAUCAAUUUGGUUCAUAAGUUGCUCAUUUUGUUUCAUUUGUAUUCAAUGGGUUUGGGCAUAUGCACAUGGUAAUGUUUUGCUGAG